Regulatory RNA element from Candidatus Contendobacter odensis Run_B_J11, 105 nucleotides. It matches the Rfam family "ALIL pseudoknot". The record is from Rfam. Lineage: Bacteria; Pseudomonadati; Pseudomonadota; Gammaproteobacteria; Candidatus Competibacteraceae.
CGCGUUUUUCGCCCAGGCGGAUCUCGACCGCCGACUCAAGUCCUGACCGAAUUCAUCGAUUAGCACCGCGACACUCACGGGGUCGCGCCGUCGCCAGCCGCGCCG